AUUGAACGCUGGCGGCAGGCUUAACACAUGCAAGUCGAACGAUGACUCUCUAGCUUGCUAGAGAUGAUUAGUGGCGGACGGGUGAGUAACAUUUAGGAAUCUACCUAGUAGUGGGGGAUAGCUCGGGGAAACUCGAAUUAAUACCGCAUACGACCUACGGGUGAAAGGGGGCGCAAGCUCUUGCUAUUAGAUGAGCCUAAAUCAGAUUAGCUAGUUGGUGGGGUAAAGGCCCACCAAGGCGACGAUCUGUAACUGGUCUGAGAGGAUGAUCAGUCACACCGGAACUGAAACACGGUCCGGACUCCUACGGGAGGCAGCAGUGGGGAAUAUUGGACAAUGGGGGCAACCCUGAUCCAGCCAUGCCGCGUGUGUGAAGAAGGCCUUUUGGUUGUAAAGCACUUUAAGCAGGGAGGAGAGGCUAAUGGUUAAUACCCAUUAGAUUAGACGUUACCUGCAGAAUAAGCACCGGCUAACUCUGUG
RNAcentral lists this ribosomal RNA (480 nucleotides) under uncultured bacterium. RNAcentral's name for it is "partial 16S ribosomal RNA". It matches the Rfam family "Bacterial small subunit ribosomal RNA", at positions 30 to 507 of the family's 1533-position model. The record is from RNAcentral.